This 464-nucleotide ribosomal RNA is filed under the name uncultured bacterium. Its description in RNAcentral is "partial 16S ribosomal RNA". It matches the Rfam family "Bacterial small subunit ribosomal RNA", at positions 338 to 795 of the family's 1533-position model. The record is from RNAcentral.
CCUACGGGAGACUGCAGUGGGGAAUCUUCCGCAAUGGGCGAAAGCCUGACGGAGCAACGCCGCGUGAUCGAAUGAAGGCCUUCGGGUUGUAAAGAUCUGUUGACAGGGACGAAUAAGCAAUGCAAAUAGUUUUGUGUAUGACGGUACCUGUUUAGAAAGCUCCGGCUAACUACGUGCCAGCAGCCGCGGUAAUACGUAGGGAGCAAGCGUUGUCCGGAAUUACUGGGCGUAAAGGGCGCGUAGGUGGGCGCUUAAGUCAGGUGUGAAAACUCCGGGCUCAACCUGGAGACUGCACUUGAAACUGGGUGUCUUGAGGGCAGGAGAGGAAAGUGGAAUUCCUAGUGUAGCGGUGAAAUGCGUAGAUAUCACGAAGAACUCCGAUUGCGAAGGCAGCCUGCUGGACUGUAACUGACGCUGAUGCUCGAAAGUGUGGGUAUCAAACAGGAUUAGAUACCCUAGUAGUC